UGCCUACGGGAGGCAGCAGUGAGGAAUAUUGGUCAAUGGUCGGGAGACUGAACCAGCCAAGCCGCGUGAGGGAUGAAGGUACAGAGUAUCGUAAACCUCUUUUGUCAGGGAACAAAGGCGGGGACGUGUCCCCGGAUGAGUGUACCCGAAGAAAAAGCAUCGGCUAACUCCGUGCCAGCAGCCGCGGUAAUACGGAGGAUGCGAGCGUUAUCCGGAUUUAUUGGGUUUAAAGGGUGCGUAGGCGGACUGGAAAGUCAGCGGUAAAAUCGAGAGGCUCAACCUCUUUCCGCCGUUGAAACUGUCGG
Molecule: ribosomal RNA, 305 nt
Filed under: uncultured bacterium
Lineage: Bacteria
Description: bacterial SSU rRNA
Rfam family: Bacterial small subunit ribosomal RNA
Source: RNAcentral